GUGGCGAGUGGCGAACGGGUGAGUAAUACAUCGGAACAUGUCCUGUAGUGGGGGAUAGCCCGGCGAAAGCCGGAUUAAUACCGCAUACGAUCUACGGAUGAAAGCGGGGGACCUUCGGGCCUCGCGCUAUAGGGUUGGCCGAUGGCUGAUUAGCUAGUUGGUGGGGUAAAGGCCUACCAAGGCGACGAUCAGUAGCUGGUCUGAGAGGACGACCAGCCACACUGGGACUGAGACACGGCCCAGACUCCUACGGGAGGCAGCAGUGGGGAAUUUUGGACAAUGGGCGAAAGCCUGAUCCAGCAAUGCCGCGUGUGUGAAGAAGGCCUUCGGGUUGUAAAGCACUUUUGUCCGGAAAGAAAUCCUUGGCUCUAAUACAGUCGGGGGAUGACGGUACCGGAAGAAUAAGCACCGGCUAACUACGUGCCAGCAGCCGCGGUAAUACGUAGGGUGCAAGCGUUAAUCGGAAUUACUGGGCGUAAAGCGUGCGCAGGCGGUUUGCUAAGACCGAUGUGAAAUCCCCGGGCUCAACCUGGGAACUGCAUUGGUGACUGGCAGGCUAGAGUAUGGCAGAGGGGGGUAGAAUUCCACGUGUAGCAGUGAAAUGCGUAGAGAUGUGGAGGAAUACCGAUGGCGAAGGCAGCCCCCUGGGCCAAUACUGACGCUCAUGCACGAAAGCGUGGGGAGCAAACAGGAUUAGAUA
RNAcentral lists this ribosomal RNA (700 nucleotides) under Burkholderia cepacia. RNAcentral's name for it is "bacterial SSU rRNA". It matches the Rfam family "Bacterial small subunit ribosomal RNA", at positions 88 to 784 of the family's 1533-position model. Lineage: Bacteria; Pseudomonadati; Pseudomonadota; Betaproteobacteria; Burkholderiales; Burkholderiaceae. The record is from RNAcentral.